CUAAGAAUCUUCCGCAAUGGGCGAAAGCCUGACGGAGCGACGCCGCGUGGACGAUGAAGGCCGAAAGGUUGUAAAGUCCUUUUCUCUGUGAAGAAUAAGUGGGGAGGAAAUGCCCCUAUGAUGACGUUAGCAGAGGAAUAAGCCCCGGCUAAUUACGUGCCAGCAGCCGCGGUAAUACGUAAGGGGCGAGCGUUGUUCGGAAUUAUUGGGUGUAAAGGGUGCGUAGGCGGUUUGACAAGUCUGGUGUUGAAGGCAACGGCUUAACCGUUGUUUGGCGCUGGAAACUGUUGGACUUGAGUUUAGGAGGGGAGCUGGAAUUCCAGGUGUAGGGGUGAAAUCUGUAGAUAUCUGGAAGAACACCGGUGGCGAAGGCGAGCUCCUGGCCAUAGACUGACGCUG
This 399-nucleotide ribosomal RNA is filed under the name uncultured bacterium. Its description in RNAcentral is "bacterial SSU rRNA". It matches the Rfam family "Bacterial small subunit ribosomal RNA", at positions 355 to 748 of the family's 1533-position model. The record is from RNAcentral.